Molecule: unclassified non-coding RNA, 336 nt
Filed under: soil metagenome
Description: partial contains 5.8S ribosomal RNA, internal transcribed spacer 2, and large subunit ribosomal RNA
Rfam family: 5.8S ribosomal RNA (bases 1-120)
Source: RNAcentral
GAUGAAGAACGUAGCGAAAUGCGAUAAGUAAUGUGAAUUGCAGAAUUCAGUGAAUCAUCGAAUCUUUGAACGCACAUUGCGCCCGCUAGUAUUCUAGCGGGCAUGCCUGUUCGAGCGUCAUUUCAACCAUCAAGCCCCCGGCUUGUGUUGGGGACCUGCGGCUGCCGCAGGCCCUGAAAAGCAGUGGCGGGCUCGCUGUCACACCGAGCGUAGUAGCAUACAUCUCGCUCUGGGCGUGCUGCGGGUUCCGGCCGUUAAACCACCUUCAUAACCCAAGGUUGACCUCGGAUCAGGUAGGAAGACCCGCUGAACUUAAGCAUAUCAAUAAGCGGAGGA